Molecule: ribosomal RNA, 315 nt
Filed under: uncultured bacterium
Lineage: Bacteria
Description: bacterial SSU rRNA
Rfam family: Bacterial small subunit ribosomal RNA
Source: RNAcentral
GAUGAACGCUAGCGACAGGCUUAACACAUGCAAGUCGAGGGGCAGCAUGAACUUAGCUUGCUAAGUUUGAUGGCGACCGGCGCACGGGUGAGUAACGCGUGAGGAACCUGCCUCGGAGUGGGGAAUAACAGCUGGAAACAGCUGCUAAUACCGCAUAAUGCAACGGAAUCGCAUGACUCUGUUGCCAAAGAUUUAUCGCUCUGAGAUGGCCUCGCGUCUGAUUAGCUAGUUGGCGGGGUAACGGCCCACCAAGGCGACGAUCAGUAGCCGGACUGAGAGGUUGGCCGGCCACAUUGGGACUGAGACACGGCCCAG